Molecule: ribosomal RNA, 144 nt
Filed under: uncultured Pseudomonas sp.
Lineage: Bacteria; Pseudomonadati; Pseudomonadota; Gammaproteobacteria; Pseudomonadales; Pseudomonadaceae
Description: partial 16S ribosomal RNA
Rfam family: Bacterial small subunit ribosomal RNA
Source: RNAcentral
ACAAAGGGUUGCCAAGCCGCGAGGUGGAGCUAAUCCCAUAAAACCGAUCGUAGUCCGGAUCGCAGUCUGCAACUCGACUGCGUGAAGUCGGAAUCGCUAGUAAUCGUGAAUCAGAAUGUCACGGUGAAUACGUUCCCGGGCCUU